GACAAAACAGUCCAGAUGUAACAUGCACUGUCUUUCCACUGUUAGCAGAUUCCGCUUUCUGCUGUUACUAGGAUAUACAACAAUGUUUAGAUGAGGGAUAUAUGUUGGACAUGAAACAAUUACUACCUUUGCUGAUUAUCAUACAUUGUCACAUGAUACAAGGGGUUUUGUAUUGGACAGUUACUGGAAAGGUAACAGAUUAUGGACAAAACUUGACAUUAUUUUGCCAUGUCCCAAACUGUUGUCCAAAGGAUGCAGGAUGGGACAGAUGGACUCCAGUACAACAGACCCUGUUUAUAGAUGUCAAAACAGGACGAUCUAAUAAAAAGUAUGAUGGAAAGGUUGAGAAAGAUGGAUACACCUUAGUUAUACAAAAUUUGACAAAAGAAGAUCUUAAUGCUUCGUAUUCCUGCUUGUAUGGUGUAACAAUAGGACAAAGUAAACUUUUAUUGGAAGAAGAAGUAU
Mytilus trossulus (common blue mussel) is the source of this 465-nucleotide long non-coding RNA. RefSeq lists it as uncharacterized. The record is from RefSeq and is a predicted model, not a curated record. Lineage: Eukaryota; Metazoa; Mollusca; Bivalvia; Mytilida; Mytilidae. The transcript is spliced from 3 exons.